Clupea harengus (Atlantic herring) is the source of this 1226-nucleotide long non-coding RNA. Lineage: Eukaryota; Metazoa; Chordata; Actinopteri; Clupeiformes; Clupeidae. The record is from Ensembl.
UGUCCUAAUUAUCAGUCUGUCUGUCUGCGUUGAGUAGCCCAAAAGUAUUGAAUGUUAUGUGUGAAAUUGUUUUAGUAUGGGUACUGUCUGCUAACCAUGAUGUUGAGAAAUGAUCCAAUGAACAGAGAUACCAGAAAGACUUUCAAUUUGUUUCAUCUUUAUUGGGAAGCCAGAAGAGACCCAGAAAGACCCACAGAACACAUUCCCCCAAGGAACACAUUUGCCCCUCCAAAACACAGUCUGUACAGUUGCUGUUGUGGGUCUUGUUUUUGUUUGUUUGUUGCUGUUUGCUGUUGUCUGUGUUAGUGUGUUGACUGGACUCAGUGAACCAGCAAGAGCCUGUCUGCAACGAGCGCCAGACUGAAUCCAGGUGUGUGAUACCAUGGCGACGGGAAUAAAUAAAUAAAUACGAAACAGACAGGGAGCAAAUGAAGGGUCGCGUCGGCGUGAGAGCUGCUGCCAUUCAGUUCUGGCCACAGUCUUCUGCUUGUACGCGCACACACACACACACACACACACACACACACACACGGACUGAAUGAACCCCAAAUUCAAUCUGUCAACACCUUUAUGAACAGAAGACAACACUCAAUCUUCUCAUACAUCACCCAACCAACGCAACCAACUGACUUGCCUCUUUUCAGGGACAUGUAGCGAUUUGUUGGAGAAGCUCUAGACCAGUGGUUAAUUAACACCUGGAUGCUUUGGGAGAGCUCAUAUGCCUUAAUCAGGGAAAUAUUCGCUGAGCUAGGACGAAAACCAGCACAUGAAGUAGCCCUCCUGGGACAGAAUCAUGCUGCCCCUGCAGUAUUCACACCACAAAAAUCCAUCCUGUUAACAUAGUGCAAAAGGAAUGUGGUGGUAUUGACCAAUUAACCACACCCAUUCGGGGCUAUGGGCCAAUCACAGCUCAGAACCCUCACAGUUGCUGUCAGAGACAUCUAUCAAUAGAGGAGCCUGUUUUGAUAUGCUUGCUGGGUCUGCAGACGAUCGAGCACGAGGUGACACAGUCAACCUGCAGUCAGUAAUCCCAAGGAAACAUGUGGCGUUGUAAACCAUCAUGAUAUGUAUGCGAGGAGUGUGGUGCCAGCAAGAUGUCGCCUGAAGAACACGACUUGAUGAGUGAGAACACCAAAAACUAAAGGCCACACAUAAAAUGAUACGACUUUUUCCAGGACUUUGUGUUCUGUCUGGUAUGUUCACACCCAACGUUCACAACCGUACUG